RNAcentral lists this ribosomal RNA (484 nucleotides) under uncultured bacterium. RNAcentral describes it as "partial 16S ribosomal RNA". It matches the Rfam family "Bacterial small subunit ribosomal RNA", at positions 29 to 507 of the family's 1533-position model. The record is from RNAcentral.
AUUGAACGCUGGCGGCAGGCCUAACACAUGCAAGUCGAGCGGAAAAAGGGCGCUAGCUCCUGACGUGUGGGGCAGGGGGGUGUAAUACGCCUAAAAAUGUGCCUGGUAGGGGGGGAAAACGUCCGGAAAGGGGCGCUAAUACCGCACGCGCCCUGAGGGAGAGCGGGGGGGAGUAUGGGACCUCGCGCUAUGAGAUGAGCCUAUGUCGGAUUAGAUAGUUGGUGGGGUAAAGGCAUACCAAGACCACGAUCCGUAGCUGGUCUGAGAGGAUGAACAGCCACACUGGGACUGAGACACGGCCCAGACUCCUACGGGAGGCAGCAGUGGGGAAUAUUGGACAAUGGGCGAAAGCCUGAUCCAGCAAUGCCGCGUGUGUGAAGAAGGUCUUCGGAUUGUAAAGUGCUUUAAGUUGGGACGAAACGCAGUUAGUUAAUACCUGGCUGUAAUGACGGUACCGAAAGAAUAAGCACCGGCUAACUUCGUG